GGACGAACGCUGGCGGCGUGCCUAACACAUGCAAGUCGAACGGGGAUUUGUUUCGGCAGAAUCCUAGUGGCGAACGGGUGAGUAACGCGUAGGCAACCUGCCCUCCGGCCGGGGACAACACUCCGAAAGGGGUGCUAAUACCGGAUACGAAGUCUGUGCCGCAUGGUACGGAUUUGAAAGAUGGCCUCUGUUUACAAGCUAUCGCCGGGGGAUGGGCCUGCGUCCGAUUAGCUGGUUGGUGGGGUAACGGCCUACCAAGGCGACGAUCGGUAGCCGGUCUGAGAGGAUGAACGGCCACAUUGGGACUGAGACACGGCCCAGACUCCUACGGGAGGCAGCAGUGGGGAAUCUUCCGCAAUGGGCGCAAGCCUGACGGAGCAACGCCGCGUGAGUGAGGAAGUUCUUCGGAACGUAAAGCUCUGUUGUUCCUGACGAACCUCCCUUCUAUCAACAACGGAAGGGACUGACGGUAGGGAACGAGGAAGCCACGGCUAACUACGUGCCAGCAGCAGC
Molecule: ribosomal RNA, 513 nt
Filed under: uncultured bacterium
Lineage: Bacteria
Description: bacterial SSU rRNA
Rfam family: Bacterial small subunit ribosomal RNA
Source: RNAcentral